This 76-nucleotide transfer RNA is filed under the name Deltaproteobacteria bacterium RBG_19FT_COMBO_58_16. Its description in RNAcentral is "tRNA-Glu". It matches the Rfam family "tRNA". From Rfam's summary of the family: Transfer RNA (tRNA) molecules are approximately 80 nucleotides in length. Their secondary structure includes four short double-helical elements and three loops (D, anti-codon, and T loops). Lineage: Bacteria; Deltaproteobacteria. The record is from RNAcentral. RNAcentral also lists the same sequence under 1 other name.
GUCCCCAUCGUCUAGAGGCCAAGGACACCGCCCUUUCACGGCGGCGACCCGGGUUCGAAUCCCGGUGGGGACGCCA